GACGAACGCUGGCGGCGUGCUUAACACAUGCAAGUCGAACGGUAAGGCCCCUUCGGGGGUACACGAGUGGCGAACGGGUGAGUAACACGUGGGUAAUCUGCCCUGCACUUCGGGAUAAGCCUGGGAAACUGGGUCUAAUACCGGAUAUGAGCUCCUGCCGCAUGGUGGGGGUUGGAAAGUUUUUCGGUGCAGGAUGAGCCCGCGGCCUAUCAGCUUGUUGGUGGGGUAAUGGCCUACCAAGGCGACGACGGGUAGCCGGCCUGAGAGGGUGAUCGGCCACACUGGGACUGAGACACGGCCCAGACUCCUACGGGAGGCAGCAGUGGGGAAUAUUGCACAAUGGGCGAAAGCCUGAUGCAGCGACGCCGCGUGGGGGAUGACGGUCUUCGGAUUGUAAACCCCUUUCAGUAGGGACGAAGCGCAAGUGACGGUACCUGCAGAAGAAGCACCGGCCAACUACGUG
Molecule: ribosomal RNA, 463 nt
Filed under: uncultured bacterium
Lineage: Bacteria
Description: bacterial SSU rRNA
Rfam family: Bacterial small subunit ribosomal RNA
Source: RNAcentral